AUUUACAGAGCGAGUACUACCUAUAUAUAUUUAACAUAAAUGCAUUAAAGUGAAUGUCAAUAUCCGUACAGUUUCUUCUCCGAUCGAAGCCAAAACGAGAUGAUUCACACAAAACAACACCGGAAACUUGGAUCGUUGCAAGUUAAUGACGUUAGCAACAUCCUCUACAAGUACGAGAUCAGUAAAUGAAUCGCCGGUCGGCCGGCGUUAUUAGUUGACGGAAUAUACACUAGUUAGUUCUCACAAUCCGGCAGUACAAUCUCACUCCUUUAACUCAUCAGUCACCGUUACCGUCGCCGUCUCCGUCGCCGGUGCCG
Molecule: unclassified non-coding RNA, 317 nt
Filed under: Hevea brasiliensis (rubber tree)
Lineage: Eukaryota; Viridiplantae; Streptophyta; Magnoliopsida; Malpighiales; Euphorbiaceae
Source: RNAcentral